Molecule: transfer RNA, 88 nt
Filed under: Candidatus Brocadiia bacterium
Lineage: Bacteria; Pseudomonadati; Planctomycetota; Candidatus Brocadiia
Description: tRNA-Leu
Rfam family: tRNA
About the family: Transfer RNA (tRNA) molecules are approximately 80 nucleotides in length. Their secondary structure includes four short double-helical elements and three loops (D, anti-codon, and T loops).
Source: RNAcentral
GCCAGAGUGGCGGAAGGGCAGACGCGCCGGUCUCAAAAACCGGUGGACGUAAUAGUCCGUGUGGGUUCGAAUCCCACCUCUGGCACCA